RNAcentral lists this ribosomal RNA (455 nucleotides) under uncultured bacterium. Its description in RNAcentral is "bacterial SSU rRNA". It matches the Rfam family "Bacterial small subunit ribosomal RNA", at positions 79 to 518 of the family's 1533-position model. The record is from RNAcentral.
UUCCACUGAGAAGAUAGUGGCGAACGGGUGAGUAACACGUGGGUAACCUGCCCAUAAGAGGGGGGAUAACAUCCGGAAACGGGUGCUAAUACCGCAUAGUUUUCUGAUCGCAUGAUCGGGAAAGGAAAGACGGCCUUUGUGCUGUCGCUUAUGGAUGGACCCGCGGCGUAUUAGUUAGUUGGUGAGGUAACGGCUCACCAAGACGAUGAUACGUAGCCGACCUGAGAGGUGAUCGGCCACAUUGGGACUGAGACACGGCCCAAACUCCUACGGGAGGCAGCAGUAGGGAAUCUUCCGCAAUGGACGAAAGUCUGACGGAGCAACGCCGCGUGAGUGAAGAAAGGUUUUCGGAUCGUAAAACUCUGUUGUCAGAGAAGAACAAGUUGGAGAGUAACUGCUCCAGCCUUGACGGUAUCUGACCAGAAAGCCACGGCUAACUACGUGCCAGCAGCCGC